AUGUUAUAUCUGCUAUUUAAUAGUUUAUUUUUAUUAUCUUCCGAAUAUAACAAUUUUUGUUCUUACAUAAAAUCAUAUGAUAAAUAUGUUACUAUGUAUCAAUUUAUAGUAAAGAAAUUAAAACCAUAUGAAGAGAAAUUAUUUUUAUUAAUAUGUAAUAAUAAAAAAGAAUGGACUAACAUAUAUUUAUAUUAUAAAAAUUCCAAAUAUAUAAAAUUAUUUACUAAUUUUAUUUUACUUUUACACAACCUCAUUUCUAUUUUAUAUAGUUACAACGAUCAACUAAUUUUUUUUCUUUUUAAUUUUAUUUUUAAUAUUAAUACGGAAAAUUUUAAUUUACUGGGACAUGCUUAUGAUAACUAUUUUGCAAUUGAUGUAUGUGAAUAUGAUCAUGUACGUAUGUACGACUAUAAAACGAAUAAUUUCAUGCGAUAUCAAACAAAAAAAAAAUCCAAUCAGUUUUCUAAUGAACCUAUUAUGAUAUAUAGAUCAUUUUCAUCUGAAUGUUUUGAACAAAAGGAAAAAAUAGAAAAAUACGAUGAUAAUUAUAAUAGUGUUGAUUAUGUGUAUGCUUCUGAUGACGGUAUACCCCGAGUGCAUGAACAGAGACCAUUUGGUAAUAAAACGUGUGUUCAAAAAAAAAGUACCGACAAAGGUAUUGACAAAGGUAUUGACAAAAGUUAUAACUCAUGUGAUGACACAACAGUGCAAACGUUUAUCAGUACCAAACGGUACAACAAAUAUCAUGACAACAACAUACGCACUACUGACAAAAUAAGAAGGCGUGAUAGGAAUAAAAAGGUACUUCCCCAAUUUGCAACAUUCAAUUCGUCAGACCAUUCUAACAAUGAAGAUAACAUAGUCACUCCACAUAAAUUUAUUAAGAUAAAUAACGAUGAACAUACAGAAGAUGAACAGUUUUUUAACAGUAAAACUACCAUUAUGAGUGAAAAAAAAAAAAAAAUAAAUACACAUAAAACAUGUUUAUCGCUUUUUCAAAUUAUUGAUGUUAUUGAUCUUAUCUAUGAAAUAUGUGUAUAUAGCAAAAAAGAAAUAAAAAAUUAUUAUAUAUUUUAUAUUAUUGAAAAUAUAAAAAUUAAUUUAUCAAAUUGUUUUAAAGUUGUAAAAAAUAAACAUAAGGAAGAAAAGGAAAAGUUAUUUCUACUAAACAAUAUUAAAUUAUGUUCUAAAGUAUUAUUAUUUUUGUAUUUUAUAAAAAAACAAUAUAUUAUACUAUUUGAACAAACAAGUUACAACGCUUUUCAUUACUUAUAUACACAUCAUUUUGUCUCAUCUUAUUUUAUAAAACCAAAAAAAAAUAAAAAAAAAUUACCAAUCAUAUUUUACAUUAAUCAAAGUAUAUAUUUUUAUAAAAAUGUUUUUUUAAACGUACAUAAUUUAUAUUUUCUUUUAUUUCAAAAAAAAAAAAAAAAAAGAACAUUCAGUUUGAGAAUCAUGUGGAAAUUAUAUUACCAAUUUAAAAUGAAUUUCAGACGACUUAUAUCAGAUCGUGCAAAUGUAAUAACAAAUGAAAGUAAUAAACCAAGUGAUUGCGACUUAAGUGAU
This 1566-nucleotide long non-coding RNA is filed under the name Piliocolobus tephrosceles (Ugandan red Colobus). Its description in RNAcentral is "lncRNA (ENSPTEG00000019680.1)". Lineage: Eukaryota; Metazoa; Chordata; Mammalia; Primates; Cercopithecidae. The record is from RNAcentral.